This is a long non-coding RNA of Macadamia integrifolia, 2348 nucleotides long. RefSeq lists it as uncharacterized. The transcript has 3 exons. NCBI's taxonomy places the organism in Eukaryota, Viridiplantae, Streptophyta, Magnoliopsida, Proteales, Proteaceae. The record is from RefSeq and is a predicted model, not a curated record.
UCCAGAAUCGAGUCAAGGGAUUCUAGGGUUCAUAUAAAAGGUAGAGAAUUGGGGUGAAUCAAAUUUUAUCGGGUUUUUCUCUCACUUUACCCUCAUUAGCUGAAAGUCGAUCGACGCUUUCCGGUGAAAGUGAAAACGCGAGGUGAGAUUUCCUUCUUCUUCGUCUUCUUCUCAAUUGUGUUUUCUUUUGUCACACGUUUACCUGCUUUGCAUGGAAGACGAUCGCAGCCGAUAGCCAUCUGAAAACCGAUGCUUUAUUCAAGGGUUUGCCUCUUAGGUUUCUAUUUCACUGUGUAAGGUUUACACAUUUGGCUUAGAUGAUUGACUGCCGAGGGUAGUGCAAAAUCCAUCUGAAGUCAGCGGUUUCUUUGCUCUCGAUUUGCCCUAUUCCUCUAAGACGGAAACUUUGCCAUUGAAGUGUCCAACCAAUUCCCUCCAAAAAAAAAAGGAAGAUUCAAGACUCCACAAGACCAGCAAGUUCUAUGUAAUAGCUAAAGGAGGUUCUGCAUCAAAUAAGUCAUUUCUUUUUUUGUUUAAUGAUUUUUUUGACUUUUAUCCUUUAAAAUUCUACUAAUCACAGCCAUUUAUAUUAUGUUUGUGUAGGAUUUGGAAAUUUCUCAGUUCUACUUCCUUUCAUUGUCUGUCGUUGUUGAUAUUGAUAGGUUUUCAGCAUUUGGGUUUUGCAUGAUAGUUGUUUAGGUUCCAUGUUUUAGAUUCCUUGUUAAUGGAUUGAUUCAUGAAGUAGCCGUGGCAGGUAUUUUUUAUUCCAAUAUAUAUUUCUAGAAAUAGAAAUGGUUUGUGUAUAAAUUUGUGAAAUGUCUUCCUAUUUUGUCAAGACUUUUAAGAGAAGUGUCUUUUAAAGAUAUCAGAUUUUACAGCUUCCCAUGAUGUUGCUGCAUAGUUCAGAUAACAAGAAUAGUUUUUUUUUUUUUCUUUGUUUAUCAAUGAAGGGAAUAGUCAUUAGAAAGAGAAGAUGGCUUCUGAAGAAGACAGCAGCACCUAAUGGACAUCUGCUCCAUUAAAAUGUCCAUAAUCUAUGGGUCUCUGCUGUAGUAGCGGCAGCAGUGGCAGUUAAAACAGAACAUCCAUGUGGUGCUACUGGAAGAUUCGCUUGAGCCUAAGAUCAACAUAGUUGUUUUCAUUAUUAUGGCCCAUUCUUUAGAUACCCAAACCAAAGUCAAAAGCUCAUGUUUCUAAGAGUUGGAAGUCAAUCCUAAAUCCUCUUGUAUUUCCACCAAUUUAGAAUAUUAGGCUUAGUUUUUUAUUUUUUUACUCCAGUUAUUUACCAAAUUCAAGUGUAUAAAUAGGUGCUCUGGCUGGAACCAGAAAUGAAUUCCUAUAGUGAAAUUUUGUUCGUCCAAGUUUUCUAUUUGAUCUUUCUACUUUUUCGUAGUGUUUUCAUUACUUUCCUUUCAAAUCCUGAAUUGACAUAUGUAAAGUUGUCAUUGCUGAUUAGAAUAUUCAAUUAUUAUUCACUUCACUGUUUUUUUAUGAUUGAAUGUGAUCAUAUUAUGUCCAUUAGUUCCUCGUAAUUAUGUAAACAAUUGCUUUACUUUUCCUCAACUGGAACCCCACCAUCACAACUUAUACAAGCUUUUAAGAAACUCAUUAUGAUGAAGACUGGUUUUCUUUUCUUAUUCUGUUGUUUUUUGAGUUUUCAUUUUCAAUCUCCAUCUAUUUUUUUUCAAUCAAUUGAUCAGAGAUGUCCAUCAGUUAAACUUCUUCUUAUAUAGCCAGCGGUAAUACAGUAUUGACCCCCUUUUCUCUAUUAAAUUGAUUUCAGAUAUGAUUGGUGAUAUAAAUCAGUAUUAUAGUAUUAUUGGGGAUUCCUUACUUUAAAUUUGGGAGUUAAUUAACUCUAGUAAUUGCUGGUUAUAAUGUUCUAUCGAUUUCUCAGGCCACGUUUAUUCUAUUUUGCUAUCGGGUACUGCUGUUUGGUGCUCAAUGGAAUGGUCUAACUUUUUUAGUCCUCUGGACUUAGUAAUUCUGUCGAAUGAAUACAGGCAACCGUUGUUUGCAGCCACUGGUGGAGACACUUUAAUUUCCUGAGAAAAGGUGAACUUGAGCCUCGAUUAGGAAGAAAAAAUACCCAUUUGCAGUAAAACUUCGAGUAGCCCAUAUGAAGACUUCUAAUUAAACGUGUAAUUUUUUUUUUUUUAGGUCAUGAAAUGCGAGGUAGUACUUAGUAUGGUAUGAUAUAUUAUAAGUUUAGGGCCUUGAGGUUUCGGAUAUUAAUUUAUCAUGUUAUUCAAUGGCUUUAUCAACCUUGAUCGAUUGUUAAUUUCUAAUGUUAGAAAAUAUUCACUUGUUAGCAGACUCUUCAUAAAUCCCUUCUUUGAUGGCUGAUA